GUUUAGAGGAGUUACGAGAAGUUUCUGGUGGUGGUUUGGUUCCAUACAUUUAUGCCCCAUGAUCUGGUGGUUUUGCUCCAUGUAUUUCCUAAAAAGAUGGCCAUGUUCUCCACCAUCCUAUAUUUUAGUUCCUUUGCAGUUAUACAUGUGCUUAUAAAUAUUGAAACCUGACCGAUCAAUAGUAUAUCCUGCUUUAUUAACAGAUUUCAUGUGGUUCUGAAAGCACCACACUCUAGCAAUUCGUUUACCAAGCUUGUCGUUGCUGCAAUUCCAAUAAUUUACAUAUCCAGCGAUGAACCCUAAAUUGAUGGUUCUAAAUCGAUUACUUGCUACAUUGCCAUGGGUUCAAUUGUGUUUAAGAUAGUUUUUACGAACCAAGGAUUUUUGUGGAGGUGGAUCAGAAUUUACCCCAUCUUUUGUUGAUCAGUUGACUCAUCGACGAGUCAGUUAUUUACUUCUUCCACGUUUUAUUGACUUCCACCUUCAUCUUAUCAAUCAACCCUAAAUUCUGAAUUCAUCAUGAUCUAAUGAAAGAAGAUGGCGUGUUCGCAAAUCUGAUCCCCUUCAGACAUCUUCUGCACCUCCGCAACCGACGACAAAAUCGACAAGCCUCUCCAUGUGUUAAACAAUAUAGCCGCCGGGUAACGAGGGAGUGUUUUGAUCGUUUGCUUUGCGUGUGUGUAUGUGAUUGUGUUUUGUUAGAUUUUGGUAUCGCGUUUUGAAACUAAUCAUCUAAUUUUGUUUUAAAACCUAGAAAUCGCAGGUCUCAAAUCUACGUUGCCUAAUUCAACUGUUUCAGAGAUGUAAUUUGAUGGCAAAAAUGAAACCCUCACCCCAACUGAAUUUGAAUCUUGAAGUGGCGUUUGAGUUCGGCGGCUACAAAUGGUAUGUUUUUAUUUUUUAACUGUCUUCUAUCUGUUGUCAUAUUUGUUAUCUUUUGUUUGACAUGCUGAUGGUAUCCUAAUAUAUAUUCAUAUCAUGGGAAUUUUGUGAAACAAUUAACUGCUCAUUUUCUUUUUUACUUAAACUUUCAUCUUGAAACAAUUCGAAGCUAGCAGGCAUCCAGUGAUUAGUGUCAUUUUUUUUCCCUUUGAGCCAUCUUGUAUUGGACCAGAAACCAUGCCUGUACCGGUUCAUGUUGAUUUUGAGCCAAGAUGUUUCAUGGCAUUGUUGUUUGUUGGUGUGAGUGGACGGGCCAUAUUUGAGUUAGGCACAGGUGUUUAGUGAUAACUGUUGGUACUAAUGGGCCAAUGGCGUCUGAACUAGGGUUUUUGGUGCCUGAUAAUGAUCCAUUUGCGAACUUGAACUUGAAUUUUAAAUGCGAUCAGAGUUUUUGUAUCCUGGUGCUGUGGAAAGAUGCCCUAAAAGUUGUUACUUUCUGGUAAGAUUCAAUUUCAGAUCAUAAUCAUAUUGUUCCUACAUCUGUUGCAAAGUAUGCUAAUGGCCUAAUGCAUUGUUGAAGUAGCAUAAAUUAGUUUCAGAUUAUAUUAUAGAACCAAAUAUAAACCAUAUGCAUCAAUGAGUCUAUUUGUUAUGACCUGCUUGAGUUUACCAUUUGUUUUUUUUAUUGUUUUUAAAAAUGGAUCGACUGAUCAGGCCUUUUGGAAAAGGAACCAGUUAUCACUUGUCUUUUACUUUUAAGAGAGUUUAUGCAUGUGCAUCUGGUGUGUCACCAGAAGCAACCUGCCAUUCAAUUAGAACAGUUAAGAGCAAUCCUACAUUAACUAUUGUUGUUUAGUGUUUUAAUCACAACUAUUUCUUUUUAUAUGUAAAAAUUUGGUUAUUUUAGCAUGCUAACCACAUUUUAUGGAGGUCAAAAUGUAACAGGUUUAUUGAAGACAAAAAUUCGUCAUCAUGAUAUGCUUUUAACCAAAGAAAAGUGAUAAGGAAUAUUGCGAAAGCAGAUCUGAGCUCUACAUGGUGUGGUUGUGAAGGUGGAGGGGGCUUUACCCACCAAAACCUUAAAACCAUGGGGUGGUGAGGGUGUGGGAAAGGGGUAAACCAACCAACCAACACACCCUUUUCCCCUACCCCUGUUGAAAUCUUCAAGCCCCAAGGGCACAUGCUGGACCACGUCAUGCUCGGGGUGGCGUGUUAUGUAUGUAGUCCCUUUUUUUUAAAGAAUCUCAUUUGUACACUAACAUCAUUUUUAUGUUUUGGGCCAAUCGGAGUUUCCACCUGAUCUGACGAGCACAACAUUUGAUUACUGAAAUAAAGAUGAUUUUAGAGUUGCAGACAUUUUUCUGCAGUUCAAUUAGACAUUCUGCAGUUCCGUCAACUGGCACUGCCCUGGCUAAUGGAACGCAUUUACCACUAUGGCUUGAGGAUGUUUUGGUAUGCGACAUCUAUGCAGCUGCGAAAUGGGCAUAGAAAAUAGUAGAUGUUCAACUAAGAAAUUGAGAACCUAAGAAUCGACACAUACAGGCCUGGGGGGAUCUUGUGGUCAGCAUGCAAAUACUACUAACAGUGCUGUUAGGAUUACAUAUAUUCCAUUAGGCUUCACAAUUUCUAUACAAGAAGAAGGGUCACAACAUAUGCUGAAGACAACUUGUGUUUCUUGAGAAAUGGGUUGAGAAAUAUCCGAGUACAAGAAUAGACUUUUUUUAUCACGGGUAUGGAGGUAUUGAUUAUAAUUUUUUAGCAACAUAUUAGCACUUUUUGAUAUUUAGAUGAAGGUAAGGCUAUGCAUGAAAUAUCACCAUGGGUGCUCUCCAACCUGUUUGACCCGUUUGAUACUUUUCUGCAGGUUAUUGGUAUAAUGUUUUAUGAGAGUGUAUUAGUUUUAUUAUUCUCAUAAUUGCAAAUAUAUGUACUUCAUUGGUUAGGGAUGAACAAAUUUUUUUAAGGCGACAACAACACCAUGCCAUCGGAUCGUGGAUGAGGUUGUCGACACCUCUUACUGGUGGAUGGACUCAUGGCGCAAAGAUUUUGGGGGCAUUAGCUUUGUAUUAAAAUGUGUUAAUUGUAAGUGUGUGCCUAAAUGAAUGAGGGGUACUCGACAAGUGUUGUAACUUUUGGCCUCUUAGUUCUUUGAGAGUGGCCCAUUGUUAAAUAAAGAUAUGCUUAGCUUUGUCGUCCAAUUUUUUUUUUAAUAUAAUUAAUGAUAUUUACACGUAUUUUCACUAUAGAUUUAAUCA
Molecule: long non-coding RNA, 3137 nt
Organism: Helianthus annuus (common sunflower)
Lineage: Eukaryota; Viridiplantae; Streptophyta; Magnoliopsida; Asterales; Asteraceae
Exons: 6
Source: RefSeq, a predicted model, not a curated record